RNAcentral lists this ribosomal RNA (253 nucleotides) under uncultured bacterium. RNAcentral's name for it is "partial 16S ribosomal RNA". It matches the Rfam family "Bacterial small subunit ribosomal RNA", at positions 524 to 776 of the family's 1533-position model. The record is from RNAcentral.
UACGAAGGGGGCUAGCGUUGCUCGGAAUCACUGGGCGUAAAGGGUGCGUAGGCGGGUCUUUAAGUCAGGGGUGAAAUCCUGGAGCUCAACUCCAGAACUGCCUUUGAUACUGAAGAUCUGGAGUCCGGGAGAGGUGAGUGGAACUGCGAGUGUAGAGGUGAAAUUCGUAGAUAUUCGCAAGAACACCAGUGGCGAAGGCGGCUCACUGGCCCGGUACUGACGCUGAGGUGCGAAAGCGUGGGGAGCAAACAGG